This is a non-coding RNA of Drosophila takahashii, 959 nucleotides long. NCBI's taxonomy places the organism in Eukaryota, Metazoa, Arthropoda, Insecta, Diptera, Drosophilidae. The record is from RefSeq and is a predicted model, not a curated record.
UCGUCCGGUGUGGUUCACAAUUUUCCUUCUCUCGCAGUGUUCGCACUUCUCUAUCCGUGUGUGUAUGUGUGAGUCGCUUUGAGUGCGGUGUGAGUGUGGAAAAAUCCACAGCAACAACAAAAACCGAAGAGAAAGAGCAGAAAAUCCGCCGAAAAUUAGCCUUAGCUAUGGAUAUGGAUAAACAGAAUGCAAAAAUGUAUGCAAUUGCCGUCAUAAGUUCGCUCAUUGAAAUUCGUAAUAAUUGAGUGAAUUCACCGAAAAUGAAGAAGAGCAUUUAGCCAAGAGAGCGAGCGAGAGAGAGAGUGAGCGAGUGCGAGUGAGAUGCGCCGUUUCAACCGUUUCAUUUGCAACGUCAUCGUCAUCUGAAGAGAAAAGCCAAGGAAAGAGAGCGCGCGAGCGCAUUACGCCUUUGUUUACACGCCCAUUUCACAACUCCCCCGAAAGGAAACAUCAUCCAAGGACCUACUAAAGGUGCACAUAACGCCGUUUUUUGGAUAAUUAGUGCUGAGGAAUCCGAGAUUUUCAAAAAAACCCCCGAGAUAAAAGAGUCUGCGCAAAGAGAGCGGCCACAGAGCGAGAGAGAGGGAGUAAGAUAAAGAGAGCAGAGCGAGCGCUUCGUUGGGCUCCAAAAAUCAAAUUCGUGUGGCUCCCAUUUGGAAAAAUUGCGUCUCGCGACACAACGUGCGUCCAGAGCAGCGGAAAGUUUUUUCUAUUCGCGGCCGGGUAAUUGUGCUUGUAAAUGCAGUUGUGCUUUGAAAAACUCAAGUUUCUUUGAAUAUCUGCCAUUGGGCAGGCAACAAUAACACAAACUUAACCCACAAACCCAUUUUAUCCAGUGCGACGAGUUUUAAAUAUCGAUUUUUUUCUGUCGUUUCGGCUAACGCGCGUCGAUGACCUCGCACACAACAACUACAACUACGACUAUAAACACAAAUACAACGCAAAGCUAAAAGCUGCAA